Non-coding RNA from Caenorhabditis elegans, 21 nucleotides. Lineage: Eukaryota; Metazoa; Nematoda; Chromadorea; Rhabditida; Rhabditidae. The record is from Ensembl.
UCUUUCAGUUGACUGAAAUGU